This 553-nucleotide small RNA is filed under the name Pongo abelii (Sumatran orangutan). RNAcentral describes it as "processed transcript". The record is from RNAcentral. Lineage: Eukaryota; Metazoa; Chordata; Mammalia; Primates; Hominidae.
AGAAAUAAACCAGCUUCAGAAGCAAAGGUCACAGAUGAUCAUACUCAAGAUCUUCCUGGGGAGUCAACGGCAAAUUUCACUGGGCUACUUUACAGAUGAAGAAGGAAUAUAAAGAAGGUUCUGGGACCCUGAAGUCCACGGAACACCCACCAUUACCUGAUCUUUGGAGCUUGUCAUUUGGCCAGUGGACCCUAAUAAACAUGUCCACGGGGAUGUGGGGAUGGAAUGCCGGAGCCUGGCUCGCUAGGGCAUCCAGGUUCUUCCUCUUUGCCCUGCUGUCUCCAGGCACCAAGAAUCUCCUGCAGUUCCCCAAAGAUGAACCCCCCAGUAUCUCAGGUCACUCUGUUUCCCUUGAUCUUUACCAAAUUCCUGACUCAGAGUUCCUCCCAUUUGCUUCUGACUCUCAUUUUAUUCUUAUGAUGUUUACCAUUUCUGUUCUCCUCAGUGUCCCUCUCUGAGUGCUAAGAGUAUGUUAAUAAGCCAGUGCUCAGACCACAGCACAAGGCAACUGCUCAGUGUCGGUCAUUAUCACUGUUAUUAAAUGUAACUUAAG